AGAACCCUCAUUUCCAUAGAUAAUCUAUUGGCUUAAAGUUCCAAGAAGAUGCCCACAUUUUCUCUUUCCAAAAUUAUCUAUAGAGCUUAUUCCUUGUUGAAUGGUUGCUGUGAAGCAACUCCCUUAAAAGGCAGUCCCCAAAUCUACCCCAAUCUUUCAGCAGUCAAGAGAAACUUCAUCCCUUUAACAGUACACCUAUUGUCAUUCUCACCCCGGGCCAUAGAUCUAUAAAAUUCUCGCACAAGCCAUGGGUAGGUUGGCUGAUUCAUGGAGAAGAAUCUUUCUUAAUCUUGCCGAUAGAUCCAAGUUUCGAUCUGAAAGCCUUGUUAAUCAAAAAAUCAAAAAUCAACAUUCCUUUCGAUUGUUACAGCCUGAUCGAGAAGAGACGUAGUAGAGGGAGGAGGAACAGGACAAUGAGGUGCGAUAGUACCUUCUUGAAAGUCUGAAUCACUAUCUAAUCUACCCUCCCAUUCAUGCAUGUUGCGAGUUCUCCAUUGCACACCAUGGAGGAAAAUCCAAGAGAGAAAGGGAAGGAUUGACAGGUGGAGGUCAACUGGGGUCCUUGGAGGUCUUAGGCCAAAUAGUAAAAAGAGGGAAGUGAAUCAAGAAAGAGGAGGCUC
RNAcentral lists this long non-coding RNA (620 nucleotides) under Elaeis guineensis (African oil palm). Its description in RNAcentral is "long non-coding RNA (EGUI_LNC051384)". The record is from RNAcentral. Lineage: Eukaryota; Viridiplantae; Streptophyta; Magnoliopsida; Arecales; Arecaceae.